GUGGGGAAUAUUGGGCAAUGGGCGAAAGCCUGACCCAGCAACGCCGCGUGAAGGAAGAAGGUUUUCGGAUCGUAAACUUCUAUCCUUGGUGAAGAUAAUGACGGUAGCCAAGAAGGAAGCCCCGGCUAACUACGUGCCAGCAGCCGCGGUAAUACGUAGGGGGCAAGCGUUGUCCGGAAUGAUUGGGCGUAAAGGGCGCGUAGGCGGCCCGGUAAGUCUGAAGUGAAAGUCCUGCUUUUAAGGUGGGAAUUGCUUUGGAUACUGUCGGGCUUGAGUGCAGGAGAGGUAAGCGGAAUUCCCGGUGUAGCGGUGAAAUGCGUAGAGAUCGGGAGGAACACCAGUGGCGAAGGCGGCCUGCUGGGCUUUAACUGACGCUGAGGCUCGAAAGUGUGGGGAGCAAACAGGAUUAGAUACCCCUGUAGUCC
This 425-nucleotide ribosomal RNA is filed under the name uncultured bacterium. Its description in RNAcentral is "partial 16S ribosomal RNA". It matches the Rfam family "Bacterial small subunit ribosomal RNA", at positions 354 to 796 of the family's 1533-position model. The record is from RNAcentral.